UAGGGAAUCUUCCACAAUGGACGAAAGUCUGAUGGAGCAACGCCGCGUGAGUGAUGAAGGGUUUCGGCUCGUAAAACUCUGUUGUUGGAGAAGAACAGGUGUGAGAGUAACUGUUCACAUCUUGACGGUAUCCAACCAGAAAGCCACGGCUAACUACGUGCCAGCAGCCGCGGUAAUACGUAGGUGGCAAGCGUUGUCCGGAUUUAUUGGGCGUAAAGCGAGCGCAGGCGGUUUCUUAGGUCUGAUGUGAAAGCCUUCGGCUUAACCGGAGAAGUGCAUCGGAAACCAGGAGACUUGAGUGCAGAAGAGGACAGUGGAACUCCAUGUGUAGCGGUGAAAUGCGUAGAUAUAUGGAAGAACACCAGUGGCGAAGGCGGCUGUCUGGUCUGUAACUGACGCUGAGGCUCGAAAGCAUGGGUAGCGAACAGGAUUAGAUACCCUGGUAGUCCAUGCCGUAAACGAUGAGUGCUAAGUGUUGGAGGGUUUCCGCCCUUCAGUGCUGCAGCUAACGCAUUAAGCACUCCGCCUGGGGGAGUACACCGC
RNAcentral lists this ribosomal RNA (543 nucleotides) under uncultured bacterium. RNAcentral describes it as "partial 16S ribosomal RNA". It matches the Rfam family "Bacterial small subunit ribosomal RNA", at positions 355 to 889 of the family's 1533-position model. The record is from RNAcentral.